GACGAACGCUGGCGGCGUGCUUAACACAUGCAAGUCGAACGCUGAAGCUCAGCUUUUGUUGGGUGGAUGAGUGGCGAACGGGUGAGUAACACGUGAGUAACCUGCCCCCUUCUUUGGGAUAACGCCCGGAAACGGGUGCUAAUACUGGAUAUUCACUGGUCUUCGCAUGGGGGUUGGUGGAAAGGGUUUUUCUGGUGGGGGAUGGGCUCGCGGCCUAUCAGCUUGUUGGUGGGGUGAUGGCCUACCAAGGCUUUGACGGGUAGCCGGCCUGAGAGGGUGACCGGUCACAUUGGGACUGAGAUACGGCUCAGACUCCUACGGGAGGCAGCAGUGGGGAAUAUUGCACAAUGGGCGCAAGCCUGAUGCAGCGACGCCGCGGGAGGGAUGGAGGCCUUCGGGUUGUGAACCUCUUUCGCUCAUGGUCAAGCCGCAACAAUGGUUGUGGUGAGGGUAGUGGGUAAAGAAGCGCCGGCUAACUACGUG
Molecule: ribosomal RNA, 483 nt
Filed under: uncultured bacterium
Lineage: Bacteria
Description: partial 16S ribosomal RNA
Rfam family: Bacterial small subunit ribosomal RNA
Source: RNAcentral